RNAcentral lists this ribosomal RNA (253 nucleotides) under uncultured bacterium. RNAcentral describes it as "partial 16S ribosomal RNA". It matches the Rfam family "Bacterial small subunit ribosomal RNA", at positions 524 to 776 of the family's 1533-position model. The record is from RNAcentral.
GACGAACCGAGCGAACGUUGUUCGGAAUCACUGGGCUUAAAGGGCGCGUAGGCGGGUAUCCAAGUCUGUGGUGAAAUCCGGCAGCUUAACUGUCGAAUUGCCGUGGAUACUGGGUAUCUCGAGGGAGGCAGGGGUGCGCGGAACUGAUGGUGGAGCGGUGAAAUGCGUUGAUAUCAUCAGGAACUCCGGUGGCGAAGGCGGCGCACUGGUCCUCUUCUGACGCUGAGGCGCGAAAGCCAGGGGAGCAAACGGG